GACGAACGCUGGCGGCGUGCUUAACACAUGCAAGUCGAACGGAAAGGCCUGCUUUCCCUUGUGGGUUGCGGGUACUCGAGUGGCGAACGGGUGAGUAACACGUGAGUGAUCUGCCCCCAACUUGGGUAUAAGCCUGGGAAACUGGGUCUAAUUCCCGAUAGGAAUGCAGGGUGGUGGCUGUGGUGGAACACGAUUUUCUAGUGGGUGGGGAUGAGCUCGCGGCCUAUCAGCUUGUUGGUGGGGUAAUGGCCUACCAAGGCGGCGACGGGUAGCCGGCCUGAGAGUGUGGACGUCCACAUUGAGACUGAGAUACGGCCCAGACUCCUACGGGAGGCAGCAGUUGGGAAUAUUGCACAAUGGGCGGAAGCCUGAUGCAGCGACGCCGCGUGGGGGAUGACGGCCUUCGGGUUGUAAACUCCUUUCGACCUCGAGGAAGCCACCUGGUUGGAAGGGUGGUGACGGUAGUGGUAGAAGAAGCACCGGCUAACUACGUG
This 494-nucleotide ribosomal RNA is filed under the name uncultured bacterium. RNAcentral's name for it is "partial 16S ribosomal RNA". It matches the Rfam family "Bacterial small subunit ribosomal RNA", at positions 28 to 507 of the family's 1533-position model. The record is from RNAcentral.